Molecule: small RNA, 28 nt
Filed under: Bombyx mori (domestic silkworm)
Lineage: Eukaryota; Metazoa; Arthropoda; Insecta; Lepidoptera; Bombycidae
Description: ovarian small RNA-10594
Source: RNAcentral
AAGCGGCUCGCGUUACUUGGUGCGUCAG